GACGAACGCUGGCGGCGUGCCUAAUACAUGCAAGUUGAGCGAUGAAGAUUGGUGCUUGCACCAAUUUGAAGAGCAGCGAACGGGUGAGUAACGCGUGGGGAAUCUGCCUUUGAGCGGGGGACAACAUUUGGAAACGAAUGCUAAUACCGCAUAACAACUUUAAACAUAAGUUUUAAGUUUGAAAGAUGCAAUUGCAUCACUCAAAGAUGAUCCCGCGUUGUAUUAGCUAGUUGGUGAGGUAAAGGCUCACCAAGGCGAUGAUACAUAGCCGACCUGAGAGGGUGAUCGGCCACAUUGGGACUGAGACACGGUCCAAACUCCUACGGGAGGCAGCAGUAGGGAAUCUUCGGCAAUGGACGAAAGUCUGACCGAGCAACGCCGCGUGAGUGAAGAAGGUUUUCGGAUCGUAAAACUCUGUUGGUAGAGAAGAACGUUGGUGAGAGUGGAAAGCUCAUCAAGUGACGGUAACUACCCAGAAAGGGACGGCUAACUACGUG
This 497-nucleotide ribosomal RNA is filed under the name uncultured bacterium. RNAcentral describes it as "partial 16S ribosomal RNA". It matches the Rfam family "Bacterial small subunit ribosomal RNA", at positions 28 to 507 of the family's 1533-position model. The record is from RNAcentral.